RNAcentral lists this ribosomal RNA (843 nucleotides) under uncultured bacterium. Its description in RNAcentral is "bacterial SSU rRNA". It matches the Rfam family "Bacterial small subunit ribosomal RNA", at positions 58 to 916 of the family's 1533-position model. The record is from RNAcentral.
CAAGUCGAGCGAUGAAGCACCUUCGGGUGUGAAUUAGCGGCGAACGGGUGAGGAACACGUGAGAAAUCUGCCUUCAACACUGGGAUAACUCCGGGAAACCGGGGCUAAUACCGGAUAUGAAACCUGCGGGCAUCCGCGGGUUUGGAAAGUUUUUCGGUUGAAGAUGAUCUCGCGGCCUAUCAGCUUGUUGGUGAGGUAAUGGCUCACCAAGGCGACGACGGGUAGCCGGCCUGAGAGGGCGACCGGCCACACUGGGACUGAGACACGGCCCAGACUCCUACGGGAGGCAGCAGUGGGGAAUAUUGGGCAAUGGAGGAAACUCUGACCCAGCGACGCCGCGUGCGGGAUGAAGGCCUUCGGGUUGUAAACCGCUUUCAGCAGGGAAGAAGCGAAAGUGACGGUACCUGCAGAAGAAGCACCGGCUAACUAUGUGCCAGCAGCCGCGGUAAUACAUAGGGUGCAAGCGUUGUCCGGAAUUAUUGGGCGUAAAGAGCUCGUAGGUGGUUCGUCACGUCGGAUGUGAAACUCUGGGGCUUAACCCCAGACCUGCAUUCGAUACGGGCGAGCUUGAGUAUGGUAGGGGAGUCUGGAAUUCCUGGUGUAGCGGUGGAAUGCGCAGAUAUCAGGAGGAACACCAAUGGCGAAGGCAGGACUCUGGGCCAUUACUGACACUGAGGAGCGAAAGCGUGGGGAGCGAACAGGAUUAGAUACCCUGGUAGUCCACGCCGUAAACGGUGGGCACUAGUUGUGGGGACCUUCCACGGUCCCUGCGACGCAGCUAACGCAUUAAGUGCCCCGCCUGGGGAGUACGAUCGCAAGAUUAAAACUCAAAGGAAUUGACGG